UACGAACUGUGCAACCGUUAUUCGGAAUCACUGGGCUUACAGGGUGCGUAGGCGGCCUGACAAGUAGGGUGUGAAAGCCCCCGGCUCAACCGGGGAAUGGCGCCCUAAACUGUCGGGCUGGAGUGAGAUAGGGGUGUGCGGAACUUCCGGUGGAGCGGUGAAAUGUGUUGAUAUCGGAAGGAACGCCGGUGGCGAAAGCGGCACACUGGAUCUCAACUGACGCUGAGGCACGAAAGCCAGGGGAGCGAACGGG
This 253-nucleotide ribosomal RNA is filed under the name uncultured bacterium. RNAcentral's name for it is "partial 16S ribosomal RNA". It matches the Rfam family "Bacterial small subunit ribosomal RNA", at positions 524 to 776 of the family's 1533-position model. The record is from RNAcentral.